Non-coding RNA from Mumia flava, 220 nucleotides. The record is from Rfam. NCBI's taxonomy places the organism in Bacteria, Bacillati, Actinomycetota, Actinomycetes, Propionibacteriales, Nocardioidaceae.
CACUCCAUCAUUCAUCUUUGCACACCCGAAUUCCGCAGGGUUUUUCAAGUACCAGAGGUAACCGGUUGCCGCGUGACGAAGGGAACAAAUCGACCAAAGAAGCGAGGACGGUCAUGCGAUCUGCCCGGAUUGCACUGAUGCUGACGAUCGCGCUUGCCGGUCCGUAUGCGUCGAACUUCGCGUAUGCGCAGCGCCCCGAGCAGGGCGCAUCGUCGCGCAA